CAGGGCUUUGUACCAUAACUUUGGUGUCAAUUGUGUGAGGAGUAGGGGUGGGAGACUGUAUUCUUACAGCUGUCUCAGUGGUCCCUGCUACGGUGAGGGAAGAAGUAGUCACGAUAACUUGACCGUGAAGGGCUCGAGCGCCAUGUGACAUCCUGGCCAGAAACGUCGACUCGAUUGAGAUUUCAUCAUCUCCAUUGAGAAAGGGAGCCGGCCUAUCACUAAAAUCACCACCUCUUGGUCCUUCCUCUCUCGUGUUCAGCGCAAGGGCCUUCCUGACUGUGUGACAGAGGGAGUCCUGAGUGACGCCGUGAAUGACUCUACGAUGCCUUUACUGCCCCCCCCCCACCCCCACCUCUUCCCGGCUG
Oncorhynchus nerka (sockeye salmon) is the source of this 365-nucleotide long non-coding RNA. RefSeq lists it as uncharacterized. NCBI's taxonomy places the organism in Eukaryota, Metazoa, Chordata, Actinopteri, Salmoniformes, Salmonidae. The record is from RefSeq and is a predicted model, not a curated record. The transcript has 4 exons.